GAUGUGAACUAACUUGACGUUAUUGAUCAAAUAGGUAAAUUUAGAUCUAUCUCGUUUUUUUUGUAAAGAAAACAUGAAUACCUCCCGGCCCAAUUUCCAUGAAGUAUGCACCUCUUGCCUUCUUACUUAGGGCGCAGUUAUUCCUGUAGAUUCUUCUGCCUUCUCAUAUUUGCAUUUUUAUUUCAUUUUUGCCGUGUAGAUACUAACUUUCAAGAAUUUUCCAAUACAAACUUGUAUUGAGUAUAAAGAUUCAACGAAGUUCCACGGGCCGUUUCGUUCCGGGGAGGGAUAUGCAACAUUUUGAUUUGUGUGGAGUAGGUUUGGCGUGUAAUAUAGAACCUAUAUGUGGGCUAAUUUUGGGCUCAAUAGUCAAUAGUACUGCCCACUUUCUACUAUAAGGCAUACUUCUUUUUUCUCUAUAAUACCAAAUAAAUAUACUAGCAGGUGUGCCCGCGCGUUGCUGCGGGUCAACAAAAUCACAAACUAUUUAUUUUUAUUUUCUGUGUACGCAACUCAUUGCGCCGUCGAGGUCGGCAUGCGGGUGUGGUGGCGUCGGUCGUAAGACGGAGUAGGAGAAAUUGUGAAAAAAAUUGAAGGAAAAAAAAAUAGGCAAUGACAUAUUGGUUGUAAUUUUAACGAAGUUAACCUACGGUGGCGACCGUACCAUCACCACCAACUCUAAUUUAAUAUAUUGGUAUAGAUAUUGUGAACAUAUAUUUCAUGGUUAAUCUAUUGGUAUUGGUUUGGUAUUGUUGAUGUUGAAAUUUUUCCAAUAAAUUUGAUCAAACUUUUAAAAGUUUGACUUGGGACAAAUACCAUAUGCCUUAUAGCAUGGAAAUUAGUGAGUAUGACUCUGCUUCAACUGAUGAUACACGACAUAAAUAAUUGUUAGAUCUCCAAAAUGAAUUUUGCUUUCACCAAAUGUGAGUUUCUUCAACAAAAAAUAUAUUGUUGCCCGGCUCACCUCGGAGGUACGUAGCAUCCGUCGCGGGCGAAGAAGCCGUCGCCGUCCAACCCCGCCUCGCACGCGCACCGGUGACCCGCCGUCCCGCCCGGCGUCCGCACGUCGGUGCACGUCGCGUUCGCCGCGCAACGCCCCGCGGCGGCGCACGUGCCGUUGAGCCACCAUCCCAGCUCCGCCACGCCGAACUCCAGCGAGCCCCCGGCCCCCUGAUCCUCCGCGUCCAUGUAGACCGCUGACGUCAGCACGCCGUCACACUUGGUCUUCUCCGCCUUCCCCCAGUCCAGGAACGUCUCCGCCGUGGCGUUCUGCGCGGCGGAAGCGACGCACGCCAUGCUGGCGGCGGCGGCGGACGUGUCGUUGCCUAUGCCGCACUGCGCUGUGCGGAGGAGCCUGGUCAUGACCCCGGCGGGCACGCUGCAGGCGGAGGCGUUGCGCGGCGCGCGGCACUCGCCCCCGCCCCCGCGGAGGAAGAGCCCCGUGCGGGCGGACACGCCGUAGUUGGGGCCGGAGAGCGCGGCCCUGGCUUCCUGGACGGUGCGGUCGCAGGACGACUGGAGGGAGACGACGACGGUGGAGGCGGAGGAGUUGAAGGAGACGACGCUGCAUAGGGUCGUCGCCGCCGUUGACGUCGUGUCGUUUCCUCUGGGAAGGGGGAACAGCAUCGGGGUGCUGCUGGCGCCGUCGCAGGAGAGCGGGAUCGGGCAGCCGGAGGAGAACCCGAAAGGGUAAGGGACCUUCCUGUCGCCGCACUCGCGGUUGCACCGGCCGUCGUCAUCGGCAGAGAAGGUUUCAUGGGGCAGCGAGAAAACGAGGAAGAAGAGGAGGAGGACGGUACUGUCCAUAUUCGACCCCGCGGUGUCUGCGAGAAGAAGAAGACGAGCCACGUAAAGUGUGGAGGAAGAUCGAGCUAGGUGAGAAUUGCUCUGGGCUGUAGCCACGGAUUUUUACAAGGAUUUUUCCAAGCUACCACGGCCGCCGGCUGUAACCGGGCGUCCUUGUCAGAACUCACAAGUCCACAACAAGUGGCUUUGGGUCUUUUGGACUGAAAAGAGCUGAUGGGGUGGGUAGCCUCGCCACAAAGGACGGAUCAAGAUUUCAUCGGAAACGAACGGAAAAUUAAGUAGCCCGCUGCACCACCAACAGACUAGCCCUCUCUUGUUUAAAUCUCUGCCAAGGCACAAACCAAGUUCUGUCGUGAUCACAAUCAGACAAUUCAAGGCAGCUAGCUAGCAUUGGCGCUUAAUCAGUGAGAUAGUAACCAUUUUCUUCAUCGAUCUUUGCAAUGCACCGAAUAUUUGCUUAAUUAUGGCCGGUUUGAUUGCGAGGCCAGUGUCGAGUCCGAUGCGUAUAGCUUCGGGCUUCGGCGUCAUCCUUCUUGGUGAUGGAGCUUUCGUCCACCUGGUGCAGUGGGCAUGUAAUUCGUAUAUGGCGGAGGAGCAAUCCUAGAGGUGGAGAACCAACAACGGAUGUUUGCCCCUGCUCUGACAAAACCACAAACAGUUGGUGUGCAAGAAUAACAGACGGUAUAUUAACGAGGGGAUUAUACGCACAGCACAGGUGCGCGGCGAAGCAGAAGGAGCGGAGACAGAAGAAACCAACCUGAGAUGAGAGCCAAGCAAAAUCAAGGGCUCCUUUUCUUCGGAUUUACACGAUCGACGGCUGGAUUGGUUGAUUCGUAGGUGAUGUUUUGGCGGGAACGUCGUUGCCGUUCGGUUUAUUUCCAAUGUUUAAAAGCCUAUUGUUUUGGUUUUGGGACAGGGUCAUAAUAAGGUCAGAACAAGGAAACAUUAAUCAAAUUCGGCUGUUAUUUAGAUGGGUGUGGCUAUUUCUAAGUCGCCUGUUCUUUAAGAAAUGAGCCUUAAAUAUCAGUGAUUAAAAUUUGAGGGUCAUUCUCAUUUUCUCAUCACUCACUUGCUAUCGUUGGAUUAAUAUCCAAAUAUCCAAUGGCUAACCUCUCGAUUGAUCUCUAACUUAAAAAAUGACCGCUUAUCAAUAGCAAAACCGUUAGAUGUUUAGUUUUGUCCUAACUCAAACUUUUUUAAAAAUCUGACUGAGUUUAUAAAAACAUAUAUCAACAUCUACAACUCUAAAUUAGUUUAAUUAAAACCAUCAAGAUGUAUAUUUUUCAUGGCGUACUAAUUUGAUAUUGCAGAUAUUAGUAAUUUUUUCUACAAAGUGGAUAAAACUUUAAAAUUUUGAAAAAUUAUGACAAAUUCAGAACAUCUUACAUUUAUGAAUUGAGGUAACACCUACCAUUGCCAGAGUAUUUGGGGUGCCAAAACGGGAAUAAGUAACACCUUGACAUGUACCGUCAUGCAUUCUUUUAACGGGCAUGCAGAGGCGACGACCUGGCACUUGCUCCAGUGAUUGUCAUUUAUAAAUAGCUAGUGUGAUCUAUCGUAUUUGACGGGUCAAGAGAGGUCAAAUUCACCAAGCCAAACAGGAGACUUAAUUUGGUUGAUUCGGUUCUGCCUCUCCAAGCAGAAGAAAUUUCAGGUAAUUGCAGACAUAAUCUGGCCAGGGACAAUGAGACACACCAAGACGCGUACCUUAACAUUGGUGCAGGUAAUACAUAAACCCGUAUGAAUAGGACGUAAACCAAGAUUAGAAUCACUUGCAGAAACAACUUCGGUUCAGUCGAUAAUAAUUCUUUUAUGUUUGCAUUACAAAGUGUCAAAUCAACGGAUAAUUUAUUCUUUGAGAAUGGAUCCUUGGAGCACGGCGACGCGUGCCAGUUACUAUCUUGACCGACCUUCCAGUUGACCUUGCCGUGCGUGCACCGUUUCAGUAAUGAAACUUAUUACAGUAUUGGAUGGAUGCCGACAUAUCUAUAUCUACAGGAGGACUUCUUUGCGUGCACCUUUGUAGUCUUUCAGUCUUUGUCUUCUUUUGCAUUUAUAGAAUUAGAAUUUUUACAAAGUUGAAACCGGUGGCCAUCCUCGCUUGAAGCUUUAGCAUUGGAUCAGUAGAUCAGCCUCCACCCAUCCUGGCGUGAGAACAGAACCUUUUCGGAUGCCAGUUGAGCUCCCAGUCGUGCGACCUCUCUGUGCGCCUUCUUCUGAAGCCCAGCCCAAAGAAUGUUCAUGCGGCAACUGAAUAGAGGAAAUGACAUUAGCACUUUAGUAGCUUCAUUUCUUGCUUUUCAUGCAUACUGGCUAGAUAAAAGAAUGCGACCCCAACAGAAACUACACUACGCUCUGAACUAGAGUAGUGAAGAAUUUAAAUAUUGCAUAACUGAUCCAUCGAAACAUGAAUGGAACGACAAUUGAAGGCACACAGUACUAUAUAUGCUCCUUUCAAGUCUGGUCUCUUGAAUAUCUAUGGAAUUUUUGUAUGUGCUAACGCUGAGUUGACCGAGAAGAAAUGGCUCCAACAAAGACGCAAAUUGCUGUGGCGUGGUCCAAAAUCCAAACUGUAUAUAUACAGGUAAAACCGUGUUAAGGGGUGUGAUAGUAUCGGUGUCGCUCACUGGAGGUCCCAGCAAUUGGCCAUGGUUCCACCUCCCCCACGCCUUCUCCUUCUGCUACACCUGGCCCUCGUCGCCAUGCACUGCUCCGGUCUUGAAAACCGGUAUAGUUCUAGGAACUAUCGACGGUUCGAAUCCCUCUCUCUCCUUUUGCUUAUUGAAUACGUUUGUUUCUUUCAUUUAUUUUUCUUUAUUCUGUCCCUUUAUCUUUCAUUCAGAAAAAGGAAUGAAUGGCUUGGCGCACGUGUUGCUUACGACGACGUCCAGGAUGGCGGAGGCGAGACCACCCUGCGGCCAUCGGUGAUCUCGUGCUCAACGGCCGGCAACUACACCGACGGCAGCCAGUACCACGUGAACCUCUACAACCUCCUGUCGGCCAUCCCCAGGGCCGCUGCCAAGAACGGCGGCUUCUUCAACGGCACCUUCGGUGAGGGCGGCGACAAGGUCUUCGGCCUCAUCAUGUGCUAUGCCGGCAAAUACGACCACGACUUUAACACCGAGUGCCUGGACUGCCUCAACCGCGCACCCGAGGGGACCAUGCAGUUGUGCCAGCACAGCCGGAAAGUUCGCGCCCUCUACAACGCCUGCACUGUCCGGUACUCCGACGAGCCCUUCUUCUCCGUUGCAGACAUCACCAUAGCAUACCACGUGAAACGAACCCCUGACCAAUCUGGGAAUAUUCGAACCGUACUAGCUGGGCAAGUAGUCGACAUUGUCGGCAUGAGACGAACGAGGUUAGAGCUGAUUCGUGGGCUCACGCCAAGGGCCGCCCAAGCGACCGAGCGGACCGCCGGAGGCACAACACAGUUCAUUGACGGACAACAGAUGCAGGCGGACGUACAGUGCACAAGGGACCUGCCGGCGAGCGAGUGCAUGCGUUGCCUCUCCUACUACACCGAUCAGCUGCCACGAUUGUUUCCGAACAACAGCCGUGGCGUCAUCAAGGGUUACAGCUGCUACCUGAGUUACAUCAUCGUCGUCGACAAGCCAUAUACAAUUGAACUGGGGUCGCCUCUGUGGAAGCAGGAGCGGGAGUGGGAGUGGGAGCGGGAGCGGGAGAUGGCAUCCUCAGAGCGCAGAAAACAAAGACGAACUGUGCUUAUCAUUGCUGGGGUUGUCGCCGGCACCGUGGCGCUCGUGCUUUGUCUGGUCGGCAUGUUGGUUUGCUUCCUGUUGUACCGGCGUCAAAGACAGAAGGCCACAGCCACGAGAUCAGAGCUGGAACAACCGCUGAAAGACACUGCCUACUUCCGUGGCAAAAGCGUCGAUGAAGACGAGCUCGAGCAAGGGACUGGGCCCCGAAGAUUCAGUUACGAUGAGCUCGUCCUUGCCACCGAUGGCUUCUCCGAUGGGAAUAAGCUGGGAGAAGGAGGCUUCGGGUCAGUAUACCGAGGUUUCCUCGCCGACGUGAACCUUCACAUCGCCGUGAAGCAAGUGUCCAAGAGCUCCCGCCAGGGGUGGAAGGAGUUCGUCUCCGAGGUGAGGAUCAUCAGCCGGCUCCGGCACCGGAACCUUGUGCAGCUUCUUGGGUGGUUCCAUAGCGGAGAUGAUGACCUCCUGCUCGUAUACGAGCUGAUGCCCAACGGCAGCCUCGAUGGCCACCUCCACAAGCCAGGCCACCUGCUGCCAUGGCCGGCGAGGUACGAGGUCAUGCUCGGGCUCGGCUCCGUGUUGUUAUAUCUGCACGAGGAGACAGAGCAACGCGUGGUGCACAGGGACAUCAAGCCUAGCAAUGUGAUGCUGGACGCGUCCUUCAAUGCCAAGCUAGGCGACUUCGGGCUCGCAAGGCUCAUCGUUGGUGACGGUCGAGGCUCAUGCACGACUGGCGCGGCCGGGACGCUUGGGUACAUGGACCCGAAGUGCGUGUUUGAGGCCACGGCCAGUGUCGAGUCCGACGUGUACAGCUUCGGUGUCGUGCUGCUCGAGAUCGCCUGCGGCAGACGUCCGGCGGUCGACGAUGGUGAUGGAGCUGUCAUCCACCUGGUGCAGUGGGCCUGGAAGUCUUAUGGUGGAGGAGCCAUCCUAGAGGCGGCUGAUGCCCAGUUGGACGGGGAGUUUGAUGGGCAAGAGAUGGAGCGUGUGCUGGUGGUGGGGCUCUGGUGCAGUCACCCUGACCGCAGCAUGAGGCCAUCGAUCAGGCAUGCUGUUGGUGUGCUGCGGUUUGAGGCGCCGCUGCCGAUCUCCCACAGAAGAUGCCCAUCGCGACAUAUGUGCUGGCUGAGGAUUCUUUCGGUUCUGUGGGGGGCAGUAGUGAUGCUGGAACGACUCAUUCCGCAGCUCGAGUCAAAUUUGAUUAGGGGACUACUGCAUCACUGAUAUGUGCCUUUUAUGAUUAUUUCGGUAAUGGGUACGAAUAUGUACCAAGAAGAACUCUUUAUAUAUACAAUUAAACUGAAUCAAGCUCUAACAAUAUCAUUGUUGCGGGAAAUUAGUAAAAUGUUCUACCGUGUAUAAUUUAAAAUAAAAUUUCACGUAUAAUCGUCUGUUUUCUGUUUCCCUUGCUAGCUGGACAGAGACCUAGUCAUUUUUGGUGAAUUCAAAGAACAUUUCAUGAAAAGACAUUCGGAACAGAAAGCAACUAGGGGACUACUGAGAGAAAUACUGGGAAACUAAAUUAAAAGAUGGAGGUUGAUUACGCUUUCUAAAAAGGACAUGUGUGCUCCUAAUUAAAUUGCAGAGACGCAAAAGAAGAAUCACCCCCAAAUCCUUGGUGUAUAAAUUCACGCAAACAGUUGGCGUGCAAGACCAACAACAGACCAUAUCUGCACAAAGAGAUUGGGGUAUGUUGGUGUGGUGAGACUAAUGAGAUGGUAGCAGGAGUGAGUAAAGGAGAUUCACCUGUGGAGCACUCGGAUGCAGACAAAAGAAGGGAAAUCAAGAGAGGGACAGAACGAGACGAGGGGGACAACUCACUUGAUUUUGAACCUUCUCCUCUGCGACUCGUCACUCACGAUGCUGCGUGCGAAGCCGUCGCCAACCCCUCCCGCUGGACACCAAGAGAGAGAGAGAGAGGACGGGAUCAGCGCAGGGAUGGGCACGAGUACUCGGGGAAGAGGAUUUGGGGGAGAAGAAUCGAGAAGGGCAGUAGGGCACCAUUUACCAUUGCCGGCCAACGCGAGCCAGUGGAUGGGAGCAAAUCAAACCGAACGGCUGGUUUCCUUUAGAGUCGCAUCUAUGUAUGUGAUCCGUUGGAUCUGCACGAUCGACGGCUAAACCUGGACGUUGUUUCGGGGGUGAUGAUAUUUGGCGGCGGCUAUCAUUUUGGGUGUGUUUGGUUUAUGUCCAACUCUUUCCAACAUUUGGCUAGCAAUUUAUUUUGAUGAAAACGGCCCAUGAGUUGCCCAAAUUGGGAAGAAAAAUAAACUAGAGUCGGUAAGAACUAAGAAGUCAUUGGUUUGUCAAAUUAUUGGCUAUAAUCCAAACAAAGACCAAAGUUUUGAUCAUGAUCAAAAAUUUGGUAAGGUGGGUUUUGGGCAUUUUGGUUAGACUCCAAACACACCCAAAUGUAUGCUCAGCUAGAAUUGUUACAAUAUCAACAAUUUGGAGAGAGACGCCUCAUAUAGGUUUCACAAUCAAAAUGAAAAUUCAAAAAUCUCAGUGAAGCUGAAAUGGCUAAAUAUCAACAAUUUGAAGAAAAGGCCAGGCCUCAUAGGUGGAAUAUGAGGCUCCGUCCCAGAGAAAAACAAUUAUUCCCUUUGAUUCCCUUUGAUCAUCAUCAUCGGCCGCCAACACUGCUCAUGACCAUUGUUCCAGAACCCAAAGAAUUAGUUGGUGGCCCGUAGGUUGCAACUGGCAUCCUCGCCGGGAGGCUUGGCAACGGCGCUUCACACCGUAGCACGUUCAUGGCUUGCCUGAUGGAGGGCCGUAGGCCGCGGUCGGGGUGCGCGCACCAGAGUCCAACGAUCAUCACACGUUCCAUCUCCUGACCUUCAAUACCGCUGCCGCUUAGGCGCUUGUCGGCGGCGUCAAGGAUCGCUCCUCCGCCGUAAAAAUCCCAUACCCACUGCACCAAGCGGAUGACCUCCUCGUCUCUAGUAACUACCGCCGGACGGCGGCCACUGGUGAUCUCGAGGAGGACAACACCGAAGCUGUAGACGUCUGACUCGACGCUUGUCCUGCCAGCGAGCACGCACUCCAGGUCAAUAUACCCCAUCGUGCCAGCUAUGCCUGUUGUGUGUGACCUUCGACCGUCGUUGAUGAGCCUGGCGAGCCCGAAGUCGCCAAGCUUGGCGGUGAACGAGGCGUCCAGCAUGAUGUUGCUUGGCUUGAUGUCCCUAUGCACCACACGCUGCUCUGUGUCUUCGUGCAGAUACAGGAGCGCGGAACCUAGACCGAGCACUAUCUCAUACCUGGAGAUUAUAUCAUAUAAGAAUAAGCUGGAGAUGGGAGGAAGAUGGCAGAAAUCAAUUUGCUGAUGUAUAUCUUUAUUUUUAUGAGGAUGUCAAUUUAGAAAAAUUUAAAUGGGCAGACUACACUCAAUUUUUGUUAUAUAAAGAAUCAGUGCUCUGAGUUUAGAAAAUUACAUACCUUACAGACCAUGCCAACACGCUAUCUGUUGCGUACAGAUGGGUGUCGAGGCUGCCAUUGUGCAUCAGAUCGUAUACAAGGAGCAACUCGUCGUCGCCAUGACACCAACCAAUGAGUUGCACAAGGUUUCGGUGCCUGAGCCGGCUGAUGAUCCUCACUUCUGAGACAAACUCUUUCCAGCCCUGUCGAGAGGUCUCGGACACCCUCUUGACAGCCAAUUCACGGUUCAUGCCACCGUGGAAUCCUCGGUACACGGACCCGAAGCCUCCUUUACCAAGCACCCCGUCGUCGCAGAAUUUGUUGGUAGCGGCAGCAAGUUCAUGGUAGGAAAAUCGCCGAGGGCCGGUGGUUCCUUGGUCGAGCUCAUUAUCCCCUAGUUCGUCGUGGUAUACGGUCGCCUCUCUUGAUAGUCGUCUCACCGUCUUCCUAGCAUUGCGCAUUUUCCGACGGCACAAGAGGAAGCAAGCCACGAUGGUGAUAGAAAGCAGGUAAACGAUGACAACCGCCAGCAGGAGGAUCCACCGUGUCGAUAUUGAGACAUGCACAAAUCUCCACAUUAUCCAGGAAAUAAAAGAUGGAAAGAAUGUCAGACAUCAAAGUUGUGCUACGGUUACAACUUAAAGCAAGAAAUAAAAGUUGAGAGUUGAGACACAGCCUAAAUGCCUAAUCGUACAUCAGUUCUCUCUAGCAAACCAAGCCAAUUAGUGAGCAAUAAUAUUUUGAUGUGAACUAACUUGACAUUAUUGAUCAAAUAGGUAAAUUUAGAUCUAUCUCGUUUUUUUUUGUAAAGAAAACAUGAGUUCCUCCUGGCCCAAUUUCCAUGAAGUAUGCACGUCUUGCCUUCUUACUUAGGGAGCAGUUGUUCCUGUAGAUUCUUCUGCCUUCUCAUAUUUGCAUUUUUAUUUUAUUUUUUCCGUGUAGAUACUAACUUUCAAGAAUUUUCCAAUACAAACUUGUAUUGAGUAUAAAGAUUUAACGAAGUUCCACGGGCCGUUUCAUUCCAGGGGAGGGCUAUGCAACAUUUUGAUUUGUGUGUAGCAGGUUUGGCAUGUAAUAUAGAACCUAUACGUGGUGCAAUUAUGGGCUCAAUA
RNAcentral lists this long non-coding RNA (10048 nucleotides) under Brachypodium distachyon (stiff brome). RNAcentral describes it as "long non-coding RNA (BDIS_LNC004125)". The record is from RNAcentral. Lineage: Eukaryota; Viridiplantae; Streptophyta; Magnoliopsida; Poales; Poaceae.